RNAcentral lists this ribosomal RNA (655 nucleotides) under Acanthopagrus sp. YI-2011b. RNAcentral describes it as "partial 16S ribosomal RNA". It matches the Rfam family "Bacterial large subunit ribosomal RNA", at positions 1740 to 2595 of the family's 2925-position model. Lineage: Eukaryota; Metazoa; Chordata; Actinopteri; Spariformes; Sparidae. The record is from RNAcentral.
CAUUUAGGAUUAUGAUUUUAUUCGAAUGAAAUCUUGAUUCAAAUACAUGACUCGGGGAUCCCGCGGUGCUGGUUUAUUAAACAUCGCCUCUUGCAAAUAAUGAAUAAGAGGUCCCGCCUGCCCUGUGACUAUAUGUUUAACGGCCGCGGUAUUUUGACCGUGCGAAGGUAGCGCAAUCACUUGUCUUUUAAAUGAAGACCUGUAUGAAUGGCAUCACGAGGGCUUAGCUGUCUCCCUCUCCCAGUCAAUGAAAUUGAUUUCCCCGUGCAGAAGCGGGGAUAAAAACAUAAGACGAGAAGACCCUAUGGAGCUUAAGACGCCAGGACAGCUCAUGUUAAACACUCCUGGACAAAGGAAAUAAACUGAGUGAAACCCUGCCCUAGUGUCUUUGGUUGGGGCGACCACGGGGAAAAACUUAACCCCCAUGUGGAAUAGGAACACUAUUUUCCUAGACCUAAGAGCUCCCGCUCUAAUAAACAGAAUUUCUGACCAAAUUAGAUCCGGCAAUGCCGAUCAACGGACCGAGUUACCCUAGGGAUAACAGCGCAAUCCUCUUAAAGAGUCCCUAUCGACAAGAGGGUUUACGACCUCGAUGUUGGAUCAGGACAUCCUAAUGGUGCAGCCGCUAUUAAGGGUUCGUUGUCAACGAUAAGUC